RNAcentral lists this ribosomal RNA (200 nucleotides) under uncultured bacterium. Its description in RNAcentral is "partial 16S ribosomal RNA". It matches the Rfam family "Bacterial small subunit ribosomal RNA", at positions 8 to 221 of the family's 1533-position model. The record is from RNAcentral.
AGAGUUUGAUCCUGGCUCAGGGUAAACGCUGGCGGCGUGCCUAAAACAUGCAAGUCGCACGCAGGCUUCGGCCUGAGUGGCAGACGGCUGAGUAACGCGUGGGUGACAUACCCAUCGGUGGGGAAUAACUGCCCGAAAGGGUGGCUAAUACCGCGUACGCCUGUAGCAUCGCAGUUACAGGGAAAGCAGUAAUGUGCCGA